GACGAACGCUGGCGGCGUGCCUAAUACAUGCAAGUCGAGCGGACUUUCAAGAAGCUUGCUUUUUGAAAGUUAGCGGCGGACGGGUGAGUAACACGUGGGCAACCUGCCUGCAAGACGGGGAUAACUCCGGGAAACCGGGGCUAAUACCGGAUAAUAUCUUCCUUCGCAUGAAGGAAGGUUGAAAGGCGGCGCAAGCUGCCGCUUGCAGAUGGGCCCGCGGCGCAUUAGCUAGUUGGUGAGGUAACGGCUCACCAAGGCGACGAUGCGUAGCCGACCUGAGGGGGUGCUCGGCCACACUGGGACUGAGACACGGCCCAGACUCCUACAGGAGGCAGCAGUAGGGAAUCUUCCGCAAUGGACGAAAGUCUGACGGAGCAACGCCGCGUGAGCGAAGAAGGUCUUCGGAUCGUAAAGCUCUGUUGUCAGGGAAGAACAAGUACCGUUCGAACAGGGCGGUACCUUGACGGUACCUGACCAGAAGGCCACGGCUAACUACGUG
RNAcentral lists this ribosomal RNA (499 nucleotides) under uncultured bacterium. Its description in RNAcentral is "partial 16S ribosomal RNA". It matches the Rfam family "Bacterial small subunit ribosomal RNA", at positions 28 to 507 of the family's 1533-position model. The record is from RNAcentral.